AAACUUUAAAACUUUCAACAACGGAUCUCUUGGUUCUCGCAUCGAUGAAGAACGCAGCGAAAUGCGAUACGUAAUGUGAAUUGCAGAUUUUCGUGAAUCAUUGAAUCUUUGAACGCACAUUGCGCCCUCUGGUAUUCCAGAGGGCAUGCCUGUUUGAGCGUCAUU
This 165-nucleotide ribosomal RNA is filed under the name Ogataea angusta. RNAcentral describes it as "5.8S ribosomal RNA". It matches the Rfam family "5.8S ribosomal RNA". Rfam says of the family: 5.8S ribosomal RNA (5.8S rRNA) is a component of the large subunit of the eukaryotic ribosome. It is transcribed by RNA polymerase I as part of the 45S precursor that also contains 18S and 28S rRNA. Functionally, it is thought that 5.8S rRNA may be involved in ribosome translocation. RNAcentral also lists the same sequence under 1 other name. Lineage: Eukaryota; Fungi; Ascomycota; Pichiomycetes; Pichiales; Pichiaceae. The record is from RNAcentral.